Molecule: ribosomal RNA, 842 nt
Filed under: Capnodium coffeicola
Lineage: Eukaryota; Fungi; Ascomycota; Dothideomycetes; Capnodiales; Capnodiaceae
Description: eukaryotic LSU rRNA
Rfam family: Eukaryotic large subunit ribosomal RNA
Source: RNAcentral
UUGCCCUAGUAACGGCGAGUGAAGCGGCAAUAGCUCAGAUUUGAAAUCUGGCGUCUUCGGCGUCCCGAGUUGUAAUCUGUAGAGGAUGCCUUUGGGUAGCCACCGGUCUAAGUCCCCUGGAACGGGGCGUCACAGAGGGUGAGAAUCCCGUAUGUGACCGGAAGGGCACCCUCCACAAGGCUCCUUCGACGAGUCGAGUUGUUUGGGAAUGCAGCUCUAAAUGGGAGGUAAAUUCCUUCUAAAGCUAAAUACCGGCCAGAGACCGAUAGCGCACAAGUAGAGUGAUCGAAAGAUGAAAAGCACUUUGGAAAGAGAGUUAAAAAGCACGUGAAAUUGUUGAAAGGGAAGCGCUUGCAACCAGACUUGUUGGCGGUGUUCCGCCGGUCUUCUGACCGGUCCACUCACCGUCUGCAGGCCAGCAUCAUCUGGGGCCGCCGGAUAAAAGCGAGGGGAAUGUGGCUCCCUCGGGAGUGUUAUAGCCCCUCGUGCAAUACGGCGAGCCUCGGGUGAGGUCCGCGCUUCGGCUAGGAUGCUGGCGUAAUGGUCGUAAGCGGCCCGUCUUGAAACACGGACCAAGGAGUCUAACAUCUAUGCGAGUGUUCGGGUGUCAAACCCCUACGCGUAAUGAAAGUGAACGGAGGUGGGAGCCUUAGGGUGCACCAUCGACCGAUCCUGAUGUCUUCGGAUGGAUUUGAGUAAGAGCAUAGCUGUUGGGACCCGAAAGAUGGUGAACUAUGCCUGGAUAGGGUGAAGCCAGAGGAAACUCUGGUGGAGGCUCGCAGCGGUUCUGACGUGCAAAUCGAUCGUCAAAUUUGGGUAUAGGGGCGAAAGACUAAUCGAAC